AUUUUAUUAAUACUUUUGGAUAAAGGUUACUAACAAUGGAAGUAUUUUACUUAUUUUUAAAAAAUAUUUUUAGGAUAUUUUAACAACAGAUUUUUUUGGCAUGUUUCAUUAAAAUAUUGGAUAUUUUAGUCUUACUAUAUUUUAUUAAUGUGCAUACAGUUAAUUUGUUAGGAUUUAGUUAAUUUUUGGACAUUUUUGUUAAAAGUUGUGGGGAUAUUAUGUUUAGGACAGUUUAAUAAUAGCAAAUUUAAAAAAAAAUAAAUAAAUUCAGAAUCAGCUUUAAUGGCCAAAAACGUACACAACAGGUUUCGGCUGUUGGUGUCACUCUAGGAAUAAGUAAAAAGAGAAUAAUACAAUGACUAUAGAAAGAAGAAAAGUGAUUGUAAAAGAAAAACUAAAUAUAUGCAUAUGUUUACACAUCUAGAAAAGAACAUAUGUACACAGUAUUGCAAAAUGACAAUUGUAGAGUGAGAAAACAGUGCAAAAAGCAGAGAACAGAUAAUGUACAUAUCCACUGGUAUAUUGUACAGGUGUGGAGGAAUGACUCAGCUGUUUAUUGGAGUGAUGGCAGUGAGGAAGAAGCUGUUCUUAUGUCUGGAGGUUUUAGUGUUCGUGGCUCUGUAGCGCCUGCUGGAGGUGAAGGGGGAGAACAGUUUUUAUCCAGGGUUGUGGGGUCUCUGAUGAUGUUCCCUCUUCCUGGUUCUAGUGGAGAACAGUUCCAGGCUCCAAUGAUGUUCUAUGCAGUCUGUUUCUGUCCUGCUGUGGCUGAUCCAGAUGUGCACAGGACAGAUUGGAUGACAGCCGUGUAGAACUGGAUCAGCAGCUCCUGUUGCAGUAAAAACGUCCUCUGCUGAACCUUUUUCAGGAUGGAGCGGAUGUUCGUCUCCCACUUCAGGUCCUGAGGGAUUGUAGUCCCCAGGAGCUUGGAGGACGCCACAACAGGGCUGUUGCUAAUAGUGACGAGGCUGUCUCCUGAAGUCCUCUAUCAUCUCCAAGUUGUUCUGGCUGCAGCAGAUCAUCAGACGCUCAACUUCCUGCCGAUAUGCAGACUGGUCACCGUCCUGGAUCAGGCCAGUGACAGUUGUGUCGUCUGCAAACUUCAGGCGUUUAACUGCUGGGUGCUUGGAGGUGCAGUCGUUGGAGGGAGAAGAGAUGUGGAGACAGGAUACACCUCUGGGGGGCGCCGUGCUGACAGUCCAGGUGGUUGAGGUGACGUCUCCCAGCCUCAGGCACAUGGAUGGAGACACAUUGAGGGUCAUCUAGAUGUUGCAGGAUGUAGUGCUGCCUCAGACUGUCUGCAUCAUCUAACGACCUGUUGGCCAAAAAAAAAGUUGCCACCUGGAUUUGGUAAGCAAAUAGGUAAGAGCCUUCCAUUGGAUAAGUACUGCAGUGAUGAAUACGUUUCAGCUACACCAAUUUAAUUAACCCUAGCUGAUGCAGUGAGGAGCUUCUCAUUUCUUAAAUAACAGUGUUGGAAGCACUGUUCCCUCUAAGCUGUGCGCGUGCGCAAUUGCGCACUGCUGACACGGUGUCCGCACAGAAAAUCUGCGCUGCGCACACACACAAAAAAAAUCCAACCUAAAUUGUAAAUAAAAUAAACAUGUAACAAUUCAUUCUGUGCUAUUUUUCAGUGUGAGUCAGUGAGUGACCGGUGACUGGCUGCUGCAGCCAAUGAUGCGAUUCACAUACGUAUUUACCAUAGACUGUAUAUAAUGGUAUUUACGCAGCUAAUCAACGUCAUUGACAGGCGUCCUUAUGUGCAGCCAUCGUUGUUGUCAUAGAUAUGAAUGAGUAGAUAGGACACGCCCCUUUGAGCUGCGGCUACAGCGAGGCUAAGCUAGUGGGGGCAAAGUUUCAGUGCAUUCGUUGAUGUAGACGGCGUGGAAACGGAAACAACAAGUAUGCUGGCUCACUGUGCUGCAUACAGUUACACACUGCGUCAUACGAUUGAGACAAGGAAACUUGGAGUGACUUUUCAUAGGUUUCCCAGAGACUAUGGGUUGAGGAGGAAUUGGAAGUUUGUCGGCUUAGACCUGGUGUCAUUCCAUCAGUGUUUAACUUCCCGGCUCAUCUUGGAAGAGUCCCUCUCUAUCUCCCCACACAUCCACCAACCACUGGAACACAUCUCCAAAGUUCUGCCUGACCAGCUCAGCUUCCCCUCAGAAGAAGUUCCACCAGAUGAAGGAGCCUUUUGAGAGGCAGCUGGCAUCGUGAUUGGACUGUACUUUGGUCUGUUCCAAUCCAGCUUCAGCUCCAGAGACGGCAGGCGGGACGAGUCAACGGAGGCCUGGUGGACGAAGGCAUGAAGCUGAGUACAAUCCAGAAAACAAUAGAGGAGGAGUGCAUCAGCCCAGGGCCAGAACAAACAGAGUAGCAUCAUAUGUCUCUUAGAAAACAUCAUAGUAUAGCCUUUGGUAUGAAAAAAACGCCAUAAUAUACAUCGUAUGUUGUACAAAUAACAAGUCAAAGGAAAGAGACAACAACUGUAGAAUUGUAGUAAUUGUGGG
Molecule: long non-coding RNA, 2507 nt
Organism: Amphiprion ocellaris (clown anemonefish)
Lineage: Eukaryota; Metazoa; Chordata; Actinopteri; Pomacentridae
Source: Ensembl